Oncorhynchus keta (chum salmon) is the source of this 805-nucleotide long non-coding RNA. RefSeq lists it as uncharacterized. Lineage: Eukaryota; Metazoa; Chordata; Actinopteri; Salmoniformes; Salmonidae. The transcript has 2 exons. The record is from RefSeq and is a predicted model, not a curated record.
ACUAUAUACACCUGGUAUUACAACAUCAAGGACCUGGUCGACAUCACCAAACAGCCUGUGAGUUACCUGAAAGAGAUUCUGCGUGACAUCGGCAUCUACAACGUGAAGGGAACCCACAAGAACACGUGGGAGCUGAAGCCCGAGUACAGACACUACCAGGGAGGAGAGGAGGAGGAGAAGGAGACCGACGACUAGCCUGGUCUGGGACCUCCAGCCUCCUAGAGAGCUCACCACUAGGAGGACGACUAGCCUGGUCUGGGACCUCCAGCCUCCUAGAGAGCUCACCACUAGGAGGACGACUAGCCUGGUCUGGGACCUCCAGCCUCCUAGAGAGCUCACCACUAGGAGAAGGACGACUAGCCUGGUCUGGGCCCUCCCUAGAGAGCAUCGUUUUGGUUUUUAUAGACGCAGAGCAAUAAAGUUGUGAAUCUGAUGUGUUGAGUUGGCCAGUUAGGACCCCGGUCCUAUACUUCAUGUCGGUCAAGUCACACCCUAUUCCCUAUAUAGUGCACUACUUUAAACCAGGACCCUGGUCAAAUUUAGUGUACUAUUUAGGGAAUAGGGUGCCACUUUGGGGACACGUUUGAAGGAUUCCUACUAUUCUGAACAGUGAGAUGCUUUAGGUUCAUCUCACCUGGGCCACUAUGUAUUCCUGUGUGUUUGUGGGAUCUGACCGAUCCUUCGGAAGUGUUCGGUUUACAGACACGGCUACCAAGGAUCAAUACGUACAAGUUGUUUAUAAAAAUAUGAUUUUAACGACUUUUGGAAUUAAAAUAAAAAUGUUUUUGUAAAAAAAAAAAAAAAA